AUUGUGUGAGCCCUUGGAUCCAUUAAGAUGCCUAGUUACAUUUACCAACUAAUUUUACUUUUGCUUAAGCUCGUUGAAUUGGUUUGGGUCAUGGCUAAUGUGCUUCCCCAGCUGUUUAGGAAGGGGCCUAGCUGACCUAGUCUCUAAGUGCACACUGCCUGGCCCACGGCCUGCUUGACUCAUUGAGUUAUCAUCUCCUCUUUGUGCUCAGGAUAUAGCUCUUCUGCCUUUUAUUCUGCCUUGAAAGUUUCAGCGUCCAGCUCUGCAUUCAUUUUGGUGACAAUGGGCCAGUCUUUUCCUGGGAAAAGAGGAGCCCAAAGCGCCCUCUUGGCAAUCAGUGUAAGGGUAGAACCUGUGACUUCUCUCAUAGUUGAUGGGGUCAGAUGGGUAGGGCAGGACCCAUUUUGAUUAAUAUGCCUAUAAAAUGGAAUUCUGGGACUGACCUCCACUCAGCUCAAGCCACACAAAGAUAAUUGACCUUUGGAAACUGCCUUUGGCAGUCUUUUUAUUAUUUUUAUAGGAAAGUCCUGCAAACCAAUUACAUCUCACAAUGGGCCUUUUAUGGUGCUAUUAGUUUAAUGCAGCUUUCAGAGAAAUUAGCCCUCAGGGAGCCUGAAAUUCUAGGGGAAAAAAAAAAAAGCCCUUCGUGGACUUAUUUGACUUUUGGAUUCAUAGGAAAGAUGGAUGGGUAGCACAAUAUUCCCUACAGUCUCUUUUGCAUUUUGAGCCAUCUGACCAAAGUACCAAAGUCCCAUUUUAGGUCCCUGGUGUCUGGCCCAAGGAAAAGGGAAAAAAUAAAUUUAGAAAAGAACAAGCUGUCUCUUUAAAGAACUCAGUCUACAAAUCAAGGAGGGUUUAUUCUCCCUUGGUCUGAGGUUAAAGAAAAAUGGAAGUGAGAAGAUUGAAAUAGCACUUUGAUUUGAAGGUCUGGGCUUUUCAGAAUGUGAGAUUACAGGUGUCCGUCUUGGAUCCUCGGGUUGGCUUCCUCACCUCUCACCCCAGCCACAAUUAUUUACAGAGUGAUGGCUCUCAGUGCCACUGUCACAGUGUCAGGCUGUGGGUCUCCACUGGAGAGAAGGGAGGGACCAUCUCAGCAGUCACCCUGCCCUCUGCCACAGAACAAGUGCCUGGGACUUAGAGCAAGCUGGGGGAGGGAGAGAAGGACUGGCAGGAGGCCUGCCCAGGCGCGAGGCCAGCCCAUCCCUGGGACAGGGAAGGAACCAUAGAGCAGGUCUGGGAGGGGCAGAAGGCCCAAGCCACUUGCCCUUGGUCAUCAGCCUGGUGCACCUGUGAGCUCACAGUCCUGUUGCCGCUCCUACCUUGAGGGCUUAACUGGGUCAUCACACUCUUAUCCUUCAGUUAUUGUUGGCUCUGGUUCUGACCUUGCCAGGUCCCCGGGGCAGAAGAACUGGGUUUUAUCUGCAGGCCUGUGGGCUUCCUGGAGCUGCAGGAAGAUUUGGCUUCACCUGAGCAGACGGGGCUGGCUGCAAUGCUGAGAGCUAUGGCAGAUCCAUGGGAACAGCCCUCAAGCAUCCGUGGGAAGGAGGUAGUGACAAGAUUGAAAGACAGGUGCUGCUUUGGCAAGGACAUCUCCUCGGCCUGCAGCUCUCUUCUCAGCCUGGGCCAGCAGCCUCUGCUUCUCCUCUUUCGGUGUCUCUGGGCUGAGGUCGUGGACCAGCUCAGGCAGGAUGAGCUACUUCCAGUGCUCGGUCUAAGGGAGAAAUCAAGCUCAUGGUCUGAAUCACCGAAGGAGAUAAAUUAAAACGAAAUUUUAGCCAAAAACCCUUGGAUCUGGGCUCCUGGGCCUGAGCACCAGACCGGUGUGAUGCAGUCACAAACACUGUUUAGUAUUUCUCAGGUUCAACUGAUACAGAAACCAAAGGAAGCUCGAAAUCACUUUUUUGUUUGGUUUAUACACAAGUUGGAGGUUGGACAAACAUAUUCACCAUCAUUCAGUGCAUCAUUCAAUGUGUUCCCAGUCCCCAGUCACUCAGGUGGGCACAGGAAGAAGAGGAAUAACAGGGUGUCAUAUAUUGAACACUUACUACAUGCCAUUCACUGAGCAGUUUGGUCUGUGUCUUCUGGUUUUUACUGUUGUUCAAAAUAAAAGCUGAUAUUUCGUGGUGUGUUUA
Non-coding RNA from Ictidomys tridecemlineatus (thirteen-lined ground squirrel), 2132 nucleotides. Lineage: Eukaryota; Metazoa; Chordata; Mammalia; Rodentia; Sciuridae. The record is from RefSeq and is a predicted model, not a curated record.